RNAcentral lists this ribosomal RNA (430 nucleotides) under uncultured microorganism. RNAcentral describes it as "bacterial SSU rRNA". It matches the Rfam family "Archaeal small subunit ribosomal RNA", at positions 330 to 718 of the family's 1478-position model. The record is from RNAcentral.
GUGCACCAGGCGAGAAACCUCCGCAAUGCUCGAAAGAGCGACGGGGGGACUCCAAGUGCCUACGCUUUGCGUAGGCUUUUCCCAAGCCUAAAAAGCUUGGGGAAUAAGGGCUGGGUAAGACGGGUGCCAGCCGCCGCGGUAAUACCCGCAGCCCGAGUGGUGGCCGCUUUUAUUGGGCCUAAAGCGUCCGUAGCCGGUCUGGUAAAUGCCUGGGUAAAUCGUCUGGCUCAACCAGACGAAUUCCGGGUAGACUGCCAGACUAGGGACCGGAGGAAGGAGAGGGUACUCCGGGGGUAGGGGUGAAAUCAGCAAGGUGAGUUGUUGAUGUAACUUGCCUUGCAAGUCACAAUCCUGUAAUCCUCGGAGGACCACCGGUGGCGAAGGCUCUCUCCUAGGACGGGUCCGACGGUGAGGGACGAAAGCCAGGGGA